AUGCCAGCCAAUUAAUCUGCUUAUCUGAAUGUGUUUCUGCAGAAAUUUAGAAAAAGCUGAUAAUAGUGAUGCCAUUUUAUGAGCCUUAAGGAGCUAAGGUCAUUAAGGUCCCUAAAAAUGGCUACAAUA
RNAcentral lists this small nucleolar RNA (129 nucleotides) under Jaculus jaculus (lesser Egyptian jerboa). Its description in RNAcentral is "Small nucleolar RNA SNORA33 (ENSJJAG00000000951.1)". It matches the Rfam family "Small nucleolar RNA SNORA33". From Rfam's summary of the family: ACA33 is a member of the H/ACA class of snoRNA that guide the sites of modification of uridines to pseudouridines. The record is from Rfam by way of RNAcentral. Lineage: Eukaryota; Metazoa; Chordata; Mammalia; Rodentia; Dipodidae.